Long non-coding RNA from Bos taurus (domestic cattle), 647 nucleotides. The record is from Ensembl. NCBI's taxonomy places the organism in Eukaryota, Metazoa, Chordata, Mammalia, Artiodactyla, Bovidae.
GUGACCUGUUUUUUCCUCCCAGAACUUUAUAUGCUUUUCUCUUGGAGAAAUGCAUUUUAAAUGAUCAGCCAGGAGAAAGGCAUCAACUACUGUCCAUGGAAUUACAAUGACUGGAGGACUUUUCAUUAUCUGAAUCGAACAUGGUUUUCAUUCGAGUGGGAGGAUGAAUGAGUUUAAAUGUACAGUGUGAGACUGCAUCAUUUCAAUGCGAUCAUUUCAAACACACAUGUAAACAUUUCUGAAAAGAUAAAGAAAACAUACGAAGAAGUGAAAUCUCUGGAUGGUGUAAUUAGGGCCAAAAAAGUUUCCUUGCUAUGUUUGUGUAUGUGUACGUUUCUAAGUCUUUCAAGAUUCCCACAGGACACAUUGUGCUUAUGAAUCAGGAUGACGGACAUACUGUACAGGAUACAGUAAAUAGUACCUAACUGUAGGAGAUUUUGCCACCUUCUCUCUUGGAAGGUGAAUAUUUCCUGGAUAACUAACCUCAAAAUCAUUGAGUGUAAAAGCCAUCAUUAUUUAAUUUAUGAACAUUAAACUGAAGAUUAACUUUGUUUUAAUGGCUAUAUUGGUAACAGCCCUUGUCUUAAAAUGUCAUGCUCACAGAAAUUGAGUGAUUUCACAGUGCAUCCAUUUUCUACUCUUUUACC